AAGUCGUAACAAGGUUUCCGUAGGUGAACCUGCGGAAGGAUCAUUAACACGUUUCUAUCAUAAAACGUAACACCAAACGCGAACUAAGUUUUUCGAUCCUCGACUUUGCAUGUGAAUUGACAACUGAGGGAGAUAAUGAUGUGGGUGAUCGCUUGCGAUUACCAUCUCUCCGGUUACCAGUUGUGUUAAGUGCACUUGUGUGCUUAAUACAGACAAUUGUGAUGCAGAUGUCAGGACAUACCCUCUUGCUUGCAACUUACCUCACAUUGUGUGAGUUCAAGUGAGAAUACUAUUCACACAUUUCACCAUACUUUUUGCUAGUUGACUUUAUCUUGUUACUAUUCGCAAGGAUCGUAGCACGUUUAUUAAUUGAACGUAAAAUUGUACAACUCUUAGCAAUGGAUAUCUUGGUUCUC
This 416-nucleotide unclassified non-coding RNA is filed under the name fungal sp. RNAcentral describes it as "partial internal transcribed spacer region". The stretch from base 1 to 46 matches the Rfam family "Eukaryotic small subunit ribosomal RNA", at positions 1786 to 1831 of the family's 1831-position model. The record is from RNAcentral. Lineage: Eukaryota; Fungi.